RNAcentral lists this ribosomal RNA (496 nucleotides) under uncultured bacterium. Its description in RNAcentral is "partial 16S ribosomal RNA". It matches the Rfam family "Bacterial small subunit ribosomal RNA", at positions 29 to 507 of the family's 1533-position model. The record is from RNAcentral.
AUGAACGCUGGCGGCGUGCCUAAUACAUGCCAGUCGAGCGAACGGACGAGAAGCUUGCUUCUCUGAUGUUAGCGGCGGCCGGGUGAGUAACACGUGGAUAACCUACCUAUAAGACUGGGAUAACUUCGGGAAACCGGAGCUAAUACCGGAUGAUAUUUUGAACCGCAUGGUUCAAAAGUGAAAGACGGUCUUGCUGGCACGUAUAGAUGGAUCCGCGCUGCAUUAGCUAGUUGGUAAGGUAACGGCUUACCAAGGCAACGAUGCAUAGCCGACCUGAGAGGGUGAUCGGCCACACUGGAACUGAGACACGGUCCAGACUCCUACGGGAGGCAGCAGUAGGGAAUCUUCCGCAAUGGGCGAAAGCCUGACGGAGCAACGCCGCGUGAGUGAUGAAGGUCUUCGGAUCGUAAAACUCUGUUAUUAGGGAAGAACAUAUGUGUAAGUAACUGUGCACAUCUUGACGGUACCUAAUCAGAAAGCCACGGCUAACUACGUG